This 253-nucleotide ribosomal RNA is filed under the name uncultured bacterium. Its description in RNAcentral is "partial 16S ribosomal RNA". It matches the Rfam family "Bacterial small subunit ribosomal RNA", at positions 524 to 776 of the family's 1533-position model. The record is from RNAcentral.
UACGUAGGGUGCGAGCGUUAAUCGGAAUUACUGGGCGUAAAGCGUGCGCAGGCGGUUCUGAAAGUCAGCUGUGAAAGCCCCGGGCUUAACCUGGGAAUGGCGGUUGAAACUACAGGGCUUGAAUCUGGCAGAGGGGGGUGGAAUUCCACGUGUAGCGGUGAAAUGCGUAGAGAUGUGGAGGAACACCGAUGGCGAAGGCAGCCUCCUGGGCCAAUACUGACGCUCAUGCACGAAAGCGUGGGGAGCAAACAGG